UACUUACCGUACUCACCCUGUCGACAGACC
This 30-nucleotide non-coding RNA is filed under the name Mus musculus (house mouse). Lineage: Eukaryota; Metazoa; Chordata; Mammalia; Rodentia; Muridae. The record is from RNAcentral.